AUACGUAGGGUGCAAGCGUUAAUCGGAAUUACUGGGCGUAAAGCGUGCGCAGGCGGUUUUGUAAGACAGAGGUGAAAUCCCCGGGCUCAACCUGGGAACUGCCUUUGUGACUGCAAGGCUAGAGUACGGCAGAGGGGGAUGGAAUUCCGCCUGUAGCAGGGAAAGGCGUAGACAUGCGGAGGGACACCGAUGGCGAAGGCAAUCCCCUUGGCCUGUACUGACGCUCAUGCACGAAAGCGUGGGGAGCAAACAGGAUUAGAUACCCUGGUAGUCCACGCCCUAAACGAUGUCAACUGGUUGUUGGGUCUUCAUUGACUCAGUAACGAAGCUAACGUGUGAAGUUGACCGCCUGGGGAGUACGGCCGCAAGGUUGAAACUCAAAUGAAUUGGCGGGG
RNAcentral lists this ribosomal RNA (395 nucleotides) under uncultured bacterium. RNAcentral's name for it is "partial 16S ribosomal RNA". It matches the Rfam family "Bacterial small subunit ribosomal RNA", at positions 523 to 918 of the family's 1533-position model. The record is from RNAcentral.